UACGUAGGGACCGAGCGUUGUCCGGAAUCAUUGGGCGUAAAGAGCGUGUAGGCGGCUUGGUAGGUCUCGUGUGAAAUCCCGCGGCUCAACCGCGGACCCGCACGGGAAACCCCCAAGCUCGAGUCCGGAAGAGGAGAGUGGAAUUCCUGGUGUAGCGGUGAAAUGCGCAGAUAUCAGGAAGAACACCCGUAGCGAAGGCGGCUCUCUGGGACGGUACUGACGCUGAGACGCGAAAGCGUGGGGAGCAAACAGG
RNAcentral lists this ribosomal RNA (253 nucleotides) under uncultured bacterium. RNAcentral describes it as "partial 16S ribosomal RNA". It matches the Rfam family "Bacterial small subunit ribosomal RNA", at positions 524 to 776 of the family's 1533-position model. The record is from RNAcentral.